RNAcentral lists this ribosomal RNA (442 nucleotides) under uncultured bacterium. RNAcentral's name for it is "bacterial SSU rRNA". It matches the Rfam family "Bacterial small subunit ribosomal RNA", at positions 958 to 1397 of the family's 1533-position model. The record is from RNAcentral.
AACGCGAAGAACCUUACCUGGGUUUGACAUCUCUGGACAACCGUAGAGAUACGGCUUUCGUAGCAAUACGACCAGAAGACAGGUGCUGCAUGGCUGUCGUCAGCUCGUGUGGUGACAUGUUGGGUUAAGUCCCGCAACGAGCGCAACCCCUGUCCUUAGUUGCCAGCAUUCAGUUGGGCUCUCUAAGGAGACUGCCGUGGUGAACACGGAGGAAGGUGGGGAUGACGUCAAGUCCUCAUGGCCUUUAUAUCCAGGGCGACACACGUGAUACAAUGGACGGUACAGAGGGAUGCCAAGUGGCGACACGGAGCAAAAUCUCAAAAAAGCCGUUCUCAGUUCGGAUUGGAGUCUGCAACUCGACUCCAUGAAGUUGGAAUCGCUAGUAAUCGCGGAUCAGCACGCCGCGGUGAAUACGUUCCCGGGCCUUGUACACACCGGCUAC